GACGAAGGAUGCAAGCGUUAUCCGGAUUCAUUGGGUUUAAAGGGAGCGUAGGCGGCCUUGUAAGUCAGUGGUGAAAUCUUCCCGCUUAACGGGAAAACUGCCAUUGAUACUGCUUGGCUAGAGUACUGAUGAGGUAGGCGGAAUUGAUAGUGUAGCGGUGAAAUGCAUAGAUAUUAUCAAGAACACCGAUUGCGAAGGCAGCUUACUAAGGGGUUACUGACACUGAGGCACGAAAGCGUGGGGAUCAAACAGG
This 253-nucleotide ribosomal RNA is filed under the name uncultured bacterium. RNAcentral's name for it is "partial 16S ribosomal RNA". It matches the Rfam family "Bacterial small subunit ribosomal RNA", at positions 524 to 776 of the family's 1533-position model. The record is from RNAcentral.